This 253-nucleotide ribosomal RNA is filed under the name uncultured bacterium. Its description in RNAcentral is "partial 16S ribosomal RNA". It matches the Rfam family "Bacterial small subunit ribosomal RNA", at positions 524 to 776 of the family's 1533-position model. The record is from RNAcentral.
UACAGAGGGUGCGAGCGUUGUUCGGAAUUAUUGGGCGUAAAGCGCUUGUAGGCGGCCUGUCAAGUCGCGUGUGAAAUCCCCUGGCUUAACCAGGGAAGUGCGCGCGAAACUGAAGGGCUUGAGUGCCGGAGAGGGUCGCGGAAUUCCCGGUGUAGAGGUGAAAUGCGUAGAUAUCUGGAGGAACACCGGUGGCGAAGGCGGCAUCCUGGGCCGAUACUGACGCUGAUGAGCGAAAGCCAGGGGAGCAAACGGG